CCUACGUGUGGCAGCAGUGAGGAAUAUUGGGCAAUGGGCGCAAGCCUGACCCAGCAACGCCGCGUGAAGGAAGAAGGCUUUCGGGUUGUAACCUUCUUUUGUCAGGGACGAAGCAAGUGACGGUACCUGACGAAUAAGCCACGGCUAACUACGUGCCAGCAGCCGCGGUAAUACGUAGGUGGCAAGCGUUAUCCGGAUUUACUGGGUGUAAAGGGCGGGGAGGCGGGGAAGCAAGUCAGAUGUGAAAACCACGGGCGCAACCUUUGGCCUGCAUUUGAAACUGUUUUUCUUGAGUGCUGGAGAGGCAAUCGGAAUUCCGUGUGUAGCGGUGAAAUGCGUAGAUAUACGGAGGAACACCAGUGGCGAAGGCGGAUUGCUGGACAGUAACUGACGCUGAGGCGCGAAAGCGUGGGGAGCAAACAGGAUUAGAUACCCCAGUAGUC
This 443-nucleotide ribosomal RNA is filed under the name uncultured bacterium. RNAcentral's name for it is "partial 16S ribosomal RNA". It matches the Rfam family "Bacterial small subunit ribosomal RNA", at positions 338 to 795 of the family's 1533-position model. The record is from RNAcentral.